AUCCUUACCUGGCAAGGGUGAUAUGAUGAUCACAAAGGUGGUUUUCCCAGGGCAAAGCUUAUCUAUUGCACUGGAUGUGCUGCCCCUGUAAUUUCCUCAAACGUGGGAAAUUCAACUGCAAUAGUUUGUGAUACUAUGGUAAUUGGGGAUUGGUUUCUACCUUUCCCUAA
Suricata suricatta (meerkat) is the source of this 170-nucleotide small nuclear RNA. Its record names the gene U1. It matches the Rfam family "U1 spliceosomal RNA". Rfam says of the family: U1 is a small nuclear RNA (snRNA) component of the spliceosome (involved in pre-mRNA splicing). The record is from Ensembl. NCBI's taxonomy places the organism in Eukaryota, Metazoa, Chordata, Mammalia, Carnivora, Herpestidae.